Small nuclear RNA from Cricetulus griseus (Chinese hamster), 142 nucleotides. Its record names the gene U1. It matches the Rfam family "U1 spliceosomal RNA". Rfam says of the family: U1 is a small nuclear RNA (snRNA) component of the spliceosome (involved in pre-mRNA splicing). Its 5' end forms complementary base pairs with the 5' splice junction, thus defining the 5' donor site of an intron. There are significant differences in sequence and secondary structure between metazoan and yeast U1 snRNAs, the latter being much longer (568 nucleotides as compared to 164 nucleotides in human). The record is from Ensembl. Lineage: Eukaryota; Metazoa; Chordata; Mammalia; Rodentia; Cricetidae.
AACCUCACCUUGCAGGGGAGACCCAUCAUCACAAAGUUGCUUUUUCCAGGGCAAGGCUUACCCAUUGCCCUCUGGUUUCCCCAAGUGCAGGAAACUGAUGCAGGAUUUGCAGUGGUGGGGAUUGCAUUCAUUCAUGUUCUCU